UAGGGAAUCUUCCACAAUGGACGAAAGUCUGAUGGGGCAACGCCGCGUGAGUGAAGAAGGGUUUCGGCUCGUAAAACUCUGUUGUUAAAGAAGAACAUAUCUGAGAGUAACUGUUCAGGUAUUGACGGUAUUUAACCAGAAAGCCACGGCUAACUACGUGCAG
RNAcentral lists this ribosomal RNA (163 nucleotides) under uncultured bacterium. RNAcentral's name for it is "partial 16S rRNA". It matches the Rfam family "Bacterial small subunit ribosomal RNA", at positions 355 to 510 of the family's 1533-position model. The record is from RNAcentral.